CCCCACACACUCAAGUAUCCUUUAUUUGGGAUUCUUGGAAUGAUUUGGAGAGGUGUCUCAUCAUAGAGAUGCCCUCCAGAAAUUCAUAGGCAGUAUGGUUUGCACCGGAACCAGACGUAAUAAUAAUAAAAUCGUUUGUUUGGGAAUAAUUGUGCUUGCCUUAACCCACCCAUUUCUCUCAUUU
This 184-nucleotide unclassified non-coding RNA is filed under the name uncultured Peziza. RNAcentral's name for it is "partial internal transcribed spacer 2". The record is from RNAcentral. Lineage: Eukaryota; Fungi; Ascomycota; Pezizomycetes; Pezizales; Pezizaceae.